GACGAACGCUGGCGGCGUGCCUAAUACAUGCAAGUAGAACGCUGAAGGAGGAGCUUGCUUCUGUGGAUGAGUUGCGAACGGGUGAGUAACGCGUAGGUAACCUGCCUGGUAGCGGGGGAUAACUAUUGGAAACGAUAGCUAAUACCGCAUAAUAUUGACUAUUGCAUGAUAGUCAGUUGAAAGGUGCAACUGCACCACUACCAGAUGGACCUGCGUUGUAUUAGCUAGUUGGUGGGGUAACGGCUCACCAAGGCGACGAUACAUAGCCGACCUGAGAGUGUGGUCGGCCACACUGGGACUGAGACACGGCCCAGACUCCUACGGGAGGCAGCAGUAGGGAAUCUUCGGCAAUGGACGGAAGUCUGACCGAGCAACGCCGCGUGAGUGAAGAAGGUUUUCGGAUCGUAAAGCUCUGUUGUAAGAGAAGAACGAGUGUGAGAGUGGAAAGCUCACACUGUGACGGUAUCUUACCAGAAAGGGACGGCUAACUACGUG
This 495-nucleotide ribosomal RNA is filed under the name uncultured bacterium. RNAcentral describes it as "partial 16S ribosomal RNA". It matches the Rfam family "Bacterial small subunit ribosomal RNA", at positions 28 to 507 of the family's 1533-position model. The record is from RNAcentral.